ACGUUGAAAAACUGGUUCUCGUACGAUCACUGAAGUUAAGCAACGUCGAGCCUGGUCAGUAUCUAGUAUGGGUGACUGCUUGGGAAUACCAGGUGCUGUG
Acanthosepion pharaonis is the source of this 100-nucleotide non-coding RNA. Lineage: Eukaryota; Metazoa; Mollusca; Cephalopoda; Sepiida; Sepiidae. The record is from the annotation of a GenBank genome assembly.